This 253-nucleotide ribosomal RNA is filed under the name uncultured bacterium. RNAcentral's name for it is "partial 16S ribosomal RNA". It matches the Rfam family "Bacterial small subunit ribosomal RNA", at positions 524 to 776 of the family's 1533-position model. The record is from RNAcentral.
UACGAAGGGGGCUAGCGUUGCUCGGAAUCACUAGGCGUAAAGCGCACGUAGGCGGGUCGUUAAGUCGGGGGUGAAAUCCUGGAGCUCAACUCCAGAACUGCCUUCGAUACUGGCGAUCUUGAGUCUGGGAGAGGUGAGUGGAACUCCGAGUGUAGAGGUGAAAUUCGUAGAUAUUCGGAAGAACACCAGUGGCGAAGGCGGCUCACUGGCCCGGUACUGACGCUGAGGUGCGAUAGCGUGGGGAGCAAACAGG